GCCACUGUAGCUUAGCUGAUAGAGCGCCUGGCUCAUAAUCGGGGGGUCGUGGGUUUGAGUCCCACCAGUGGCACCA
This 76-nucleotide transfer RNA is filed under the name Pseudomonas nitroreducens. RNAcentral describes it as "tRNA-Met". It matches the Rfam family "tRNA". From Rfam's summary of the family: Transfer RNA (tRNA) molecules are approximately 80 nucleotides in length. Their secondary structure includes four short double-helical elements and three loops (D, anti-codon, and T loops). The record is from RNAcentral. Lineage: Bacteria; Pseudomonadati; Pseudomonadota; Gammaproteobacteria; Pseudomonadales; Pseudomonadaceae.